RNAcentral lists this ribosomal RNA (694 nucleotides) under uncultured bacterium. RNAcentral's name for it is "bacterial SSU rRNA". It matches the Rfam family "Bacterial small subunit ribosomal RNA", at positions 32 to 715 of the family's 1533-position model. The record is from RNAcentral.
AACGCUAGCUACAGGCUUAACACAUGCAAGUCGAGGGGCAGCAUGAACUUAGCUUGCUAAGUUUGAUGGCGACCGGCGCACGGGUGAGUAACGCGUAUCCAACCUUCCGUACACUCAGGGAUAGCCUUUCGAAAGAAAGAUUAAUACCUGAUGGUAUGAUGAGAUUGCAUGGUAACAUCAUUAAAGAUUUAUCGGUGUACGAUGGGGAUGCGUUCCAUUAGAUAGUAGGCGGGGUAACGGCCCACCUAGUCGACGAUGGAUAGGGGUUCUGAGAGGAAGGUCCCCCACAUUGGAACUGAGACACGGUCCAAACUCCUACGGGAGGCAGCAGUGAGGAAUAUUGGUCAAUGGGCGCGAGCCUGAACCAGCCAAGUAGCGUGAAGGAUGAAGGUCCUACGGAUUGUAAACUUCUUUUAUAAGGGAAUAAAGUCACCUACGUGUAGGUGUUUGUAUGUACCUUAUGAAUAAGCAUCGGCUAACUCCGUGCCAGCAGCCGCGGUAAUACGGAGGAUGCGAGCGUUAUCCGGAUUUAUUGGGUUUAAAGGGAGCGUAGACGGGUCGUCAAGUCAGCUGUGAAAGUUUGAGGCUCAACCUUAAAAUUGCAGUUGAUACUGGCGUCCUUGAGUACGGUUGAGGCAGGCGGAAUUCGUGGUGUAGCGGUGAAAUGCAUAGAUAUCACGAAGAACUCCGAUUG